This 253-nucleotide ribosomal RNA is filed under the name uncultured bacterium. Its description in RNAcentral is "partial 16S ribosomal RNA". It matches the Rfam family "Bacterial small subunit ribosomal RNA", at positions 524 to 776 of the family's 1533-position model. The record is from RNAcentral.
UACAGGGGGCUCGAGCGUUAGUCGGAAUCACUGGGCUUAAAGGGUGCGUAGGCGGCUCGCCAAGUGCGUUGUGAAAUCCCACAGCUCAACUGUGGAACAGCAGGGCAAACUGGCGAGCUUGAGGCAGGUAGGGGCCGGAAGAACAGUUGGUGGAGCGGUGAAAUGCGUAGAUAUCAACUUGAAUGCCGAUGGGGAAGCCGUCCGGCUGGGCCUGUCCUGACGCUGAGGCACGAAAGCGUGGGGAGCAAACAGG